RNAcentral lists this ribosomal RNA (425 nucleotides) under uncultured Microcoleus sp. RNAcentral describes it as "bacterial SSU rRNA". It matches the Rfam family "Bacterial small subunit ribosomal RNA", at positions 356 to 795 of the family's 1533-position model. Lineage: Bacteria; Bacillati; Cyanobacteriota; Cyanophyceae; Oscillatoriales; Microcoleaceae. The record is from RNAcentral.
GGGGAAUUUUCCGCAAUGGGCGAAAGCCUGACGGAGCAAGACCGCGUGAGGGAGGAAGGCCCUUGGGUUGUAAACCUCUUUUCUCAGGGAAGAAGAAAGUGACGGUACCUGAGGAAUCAGCCUCGGCUAACUCCGUGCCAGCAGCCGCGGUAAGACGGAGGAGGCAAGCGUUAUCCGGAAUUAUUGGGCGUAAAGCGUCCGUAGGUGGCUGCUCAAGUCUGCCGUCAAAGCACAGGGCUUAACUCUGUCAAGGCGGUGGAAACUGAGGAGCUAGAGAGAGGUAGGGGUAGAGGGAAUUCCCAGUGUAGCGGUGAAAUGCGUAGAGAUUGGGAAGAACACCGGUGGCGAAAGCGCUCUACUGGACCUCAUCUGACACUGAGGGACGAAAGCUAGGGGAGCGAAUGGGAUUAGAUACCCCAGUAGUC